UUCGCCCUUAGAGUUUGAUCCUGGCUCAGGACGAACGCUGGCGGCGCGCCUAACACAUGCAAGUCGAACGAGCGAGAGAGAGCUUGCUUUCUCGAGCGAGUGGCGAACGGGUGAGUAACGCGUGAGGAACCUGCCUCAAAGAGGGGGACAACAGUUGGAAACGACUGCUAAUACCGCAUAAGCCCACGGGUCGGCAUCGACCAGAGGGAAAAGGAGCAAUCCGCUUUGAGAUGGCCUCGCGUCCGAUUAGCUAGUUGGUGAGGUAAUGGCCCACCAAGGCAACGAUCGGUAGCCGGACUGAGAGGUUGAACGGCCACAUUGGGACUGAGACACGGCCCAGACUCCUACGGGAGGCAGCAGUGGGGAAUAUUGCACAAUGGGGGAAACCCUGAUGCAGCGACGCCGCGUGGAGGAAGAAGGUCUUCGGAUUGUAAACUCCUGUUGUUGGGGAAGAUAAUGACGGUACCCAACAAGGAAGUGACGGCUAACUACGUGCCAGCAGCCGCGGUAAAACGUAGGUCACAAGCGUUGUCCGGAAUUACUGGGUGUAAAGGGAGCGCAGGCGGGAAGACAAGUUGGAAGUGAAAUCUAUGGGCUCAACCCAUAAACUGCUUUCAAAACCUGUUUUUCUUUGAGUAGUGCAGAGGUAGGCGGAAUUCCCGGUGUAAGCGGUGGAAUGCGUAGAUAUCGGGAGGAACACCAGGGGUGAAAGGCGACCUACUGGGCACCAACUGACGCUGAGGCUCGAAAGCAUGGGUAGCAAACAGGAUUAGAUACCCUGGUAGUCCAUGCCGUAAACGAUGAUUACUAGGUGUUGGAGGAUUGACCCCUUCAGUGCCGCAGUUAACACAAUAAGUAAUCCACCUGGGGAGUACGACCGCAAGGUUGAAACUCAAAGGAAUUGACGGGGGCCCGCACAAGCAGUGGAGUAUGUGGUUUAAUUCGAAGCAACGCGAAGAACCUUACCAGGUCUUGACAUCCGAUGCAUAGUGCAGAGAUGCAUGAAGUCCUUCGGGACAUCGAGACAGGUGGUGCAUGGUUGUCGUCAGCUCGUGUCGUGAGAUGUUGGGUUAAGUCCCGCAACGAGCGCAACCCUUAUUGCCAGUUACUACGCAAGAGGACUCUGGCGAGACUGCCGUUGACAAAACGGAGGAAGGUGGGGAUGACGUCAAAUCAUCAUGCCCUUUAUGACCUGGGCUACACACGUACUACAAUGGCGUUUAACAAAGAGAAGCAAGACCGCGAGGUGGAGCAAAACUCAAAAACAACGUCUCAGUUCAGAUUGCAGGCUGCAACCCGCCUGCAUGAAGUCGGAAUUGCUAGUAAUCGCGGAUCAGCAUGCCGCGGUGAAUACGUUCCCGGGCCUUGCACUCACCGCCCGUCA
Molecule: ribosomal RNA, 1384 nt
Filed under: uncultured bacterium
Lineage: Bacteria
Description: 16S ribosomal RNA
Rfam family: Bacterial small subunit ribosomal RNA
Source: RNAcentral